UGGUGAUUAGUUUAACAAAAACAAAUGAUUUCGACUCAUUAAAUUAUGGUAUAACCAUAAUCACCAU
Molecule: transfer RNA, 67 nt
Filed under: Nothocricetulus migratorius (Armenian hamster)
Lineage: Eukaryota; Metazoa; Chordata; Mammalia; Rodentia; Cricetidae
Description: tRNA-Arg
Rfam family: tRNA
About the family: Transfer RNA (tRNA) molecules are approximately 80 nucleotides in length. Their secondary structure includes four short double-helical elements and three loops (D, anti-codon, and T loops). Further hydrogen bonds mediate the characteristic L-shaped molecular structure. tRNAs have two regions of fundamental functional importance: the anti-codon, which is responsible for specific mRNA codon recognition, and the 3' end, to which the tRNAs corresponding amino acid is attached (by aminoacyl-tRNA synthetases). tRNAs cope with the degeneracy of the genetic code in two manners: having more than one tRNA (with a specific anti-codon) for a particular amino acid; and 'wobble' base-pairing, i.e. permitting non-standard base-pairing at the 3rd anti-codon position.
Source: RNAcentral